AAAGUCGUAACAAGGUUUCCGUAGGUGAACCUGCGGAAGGAUCAUUAUUGAUUGCGAAUCGUUGUCUCCAGUGCUGGCCGGGUCACCCUGGCAAGUGCACGUCGACAGCUUUCAUCCAAUCCCCUGUGCACCUUSGGCCUCUUGCUAGCCUCGGCCGGCAGAGGAUUUUACACCGACUCGAAUGUAAUGAAAUUCCUGUUGUGCACACGCACUACUAUAUACAACUUUCAACAACGGAUCUCUUGGCUCUCGCAUCGAUGAAGAACGCAGCGAAAUGCGAUAAGUAAUGUGAAUUGCAGAAUUCAGUGAAUCAUCGAAUCUUUGAACGCACCUUGCACCCUUUGGUAUUCCGAAGGGUAUGCUCGUUUGAGUGUCAUUGUACUCUCACACUUCCGAUUUUUGGAUCGGGAGCGGUGGACUUGGGUGUUGCUGCGGUMCUGUGGCUCACCUCAAAUGCAGUAGUGCACCUCUCGGUUGGACAUAGUACGGCGUGAUAAGUGUCUUCGCCGGCACCUCCUCACAGAGGGUGGCCGAUCGGGAGCUCUGUGCUUCCAACCGUCYUCGGACAACGUUUGACAACUUGACCUCAAAUCGAGUAGGACUACCCGCUGAACUUAAGCAUAUCAAUAAGCGGAGGAAAAGAAACUAACAAGGUUC
This 657-nucleotide ribosomal RNA is filed under the name uncultured Sebacinaceae. Its description in RNAcentral is "eukaryotic LSU rRNA". The stretch from base 223 to 376 matches the Rfam family "5.8S ribosomal RNA". The record is from RNAcentral. Lineage: Eukaryota; Fungi; Basidiomycota; Agaricomycetes; Sebacinales; Sebacinaceae.